ACUGGUGUACGGGUUGUGAUGCCAAUUGCAUUGCCCGGUAGCUAAGUGCGGAAGAGAUAACCGCUGAAAGCAUCUAAGCGGGAAACUUGCCUCGAGAUGAGUCUUCCCUGACCCUUUAAGGGUCCUGAAGGAACGUUUGAGACUAAGACGUUGAUAGGCUGGGUGUGUAAGCGCAGCGAUGCGUUGAGCUGACCAGUACUAAUGAACCGAGAGGCUUAACCUGACAACACCGAAGGUGUUUUG
RNAcentral lists this ribosomal RNA (243 nucleotides) under Morganella morganii IS15. RNAcentral describes it as "Large Subunit Ribosomal RNA; lsuRNA; LSU rRNA". It matches the Rfam family "Bacterial large subunit ribosomal RNA", at positions 2708 to 2925 of the family's 2925-position model. The record is from RNAcentral. Lineage: Bacteria; Pseudomonadati; Pseudomonadota; Gammaproteobacteria; Enterobacterales; Morganellaceae.